RNAcentral lists this ribosomal RNA (836 nucleotides) under Haptophyta environmental samples. RNAcentral's name for it is "bacterial SSU rRNA". It matches the Rfam family "Bacterial small subunit ribosomal RNA", at positions 481 to 1325 of the family's 1533-position model. The record is from RNAcentral. Lineage: Eukaryota; Haptophyta.
GAGGAAUAAGCAUCGGCUAACUCCGUGCCAGCAGCCGCGGUAAUACGGGGGAUGCAAGCGUUAUCCGGAAUCAUUGGGCGUAAAGCGCCUGUAGGUUGUUUAAUAAGUCUGUUGUUAAAGACUAGGGCUUAACCCUAGGAAAGCAAUGGAAACUACUAGACUUGAGUAUGAUAGGGGUAGAGGGAAUUUCUAGUGUAGCGGUGAAAUGCGUAGAUAUUAGGAAGAACACCGGUGGCGAAGGCGCUCUACUGGAUCAUUACUGACACUCAGAGGCGAAAGCUAGGGUAGCAAAAGGGAUUAGAUACCCCUGUAGUCCUAGCCGUAAACGAUGGAUACUAGAUGUUGCGUUUAUUAUGCAGUAUCGUAGCUAACGCGUUAAGUAUCCCGCCUGGGGAGUACGCUCGCAAGGGUGAAACUCAAAGGAAUUGACGGGGGCCCGCACAAGCGGUGGAGCAUGUGGUUUAAUUCGAUGCAACGCGAAGAACCUUACCAAGGCUUGACAUACUACAAAUUUCUUUGAAAGAGGAAAGUGCCUUCGGGAAUGUAGAUACAGGUGGUGCAUGGCUGUCGUCAGCUCGUGUCGUGAGAUGUUGGGUUAAGUCCCGCAACGAGCGCAACCCUUAUUUUUAGUUGCUAAUUUAUUAGGUUUUCUAAAAAGACUGCCGGUGACAAACCGGAGGAAGGUGAGGAUGACGUCAAGUCAGCAUGCCCCUUAUGCCUUGGGCUACACACGUGCUACAAUGGUUAAGACAAAGAGUUGCGAGCUCGCGAGAGUCAGCUAAUCUCAUAAACUUAGCCUAAGUUCGGAUUGUAGGCUGCAACUCGCCUGCGUGAAG